This 442-nucleotide ribosomal RNA is filed under the name uncultured bacterium. RNAcentral's name for it is "partial 16S ribosomal RNA". It matches the Rfam family "Bacterial small subunit ribosomal RNA", at positions 338 to 795 of the family's 1533-position model. The record is from RNAcentral.
CCUACGGGGUGCAGCAGUGGGGAAUAUUGGGCAAUGGGCGCAAGCCUGACCCAGCAACGCCGCGUGAAGGAAGAAGGCUCUCGGGUUGUAAACCUCUUUUAAGAGGGAAGAGCAGAAGACGGUACCUCUUGAAUAAGCCACGGCUAACUACGUGCCAGCAGCCGCGGUAAUACGUAGGUGGCAAGCGUUGUCCGGAUUUACUGGGUGUAAAGGGCGUGCAGCCGGGAAGACAAGUCAGAUGUGAAAUCUCGCGGCUCAACCGCGGAACUGCAUUUGAAACUGUUUUUCUUGAGUACCGGAGAGGUCAUCGGAAUUCCUUGUGUAGCAGUGAAAUGCGUAGAUAUAAGGAAGAACACCAGUGGCGAAGGCAGAUGACUGGACGGCAACUGACGGUGAGGCGCGAAAGCGUGGGGAGCAAACAGGAUUAGAUACCCCAGUAGUC